Molecule: ribosomal RNA, 492 nt
Filed under: uncultured bacterium
Lineage: Bacteria
Description: partial 16S ribosomal RNA
Rfam family: Bacterial small subunit ribosomal RNA
Source: RNAcentral
AGUGAACGCUGGCGGUAGGCCUAACACAUGCAAGUCGAACGGCAGCACAGUAAGAGCUUGCUCUUACGGGUGGCGAGUGGCGGACGGGUGAGGAAUACAUCGGAAUCUACUUUUUCGUGGGGGAUAACGUAGGGAAACUUACGCUAAUACCGCAUACGACCUACGGGUGAAAGCAGGGGAUCUUCGGACCUUGCGCGAUUGAAUGAGCCGAUGUCGGAUUAGCUAGUUGGCGGGGUAAAGGCCCACCAAGGCGACGAUACGUAGCUGGUCUGGGAGGAUGAACAGCCACCCUGGAACUGAGAAACGGUCCAGACUCCGACGGGAGGCAGCAGUGGGGAAUAUUGGACAAUGGGCGCAGGCCUGAUCCGGCCAUACCGCGUGGGUGAAGAAGGCCUUCGGGUUGUAAAGCCCUUUUGUUGGGAAAGAAAAGCAGCAGGUUAAUACCCCGCUGUUCUGACGGUACCCAAAGAAUAAGCACCGGCUAACUUCGUG